This 497-nucleotide ribosomal RNA is filed under the name uncultured bacterium. Its description in RNAcentral is "partial 16S ribosomal RNA". It matches the Rfam family "Bacterial small subunit ribosomal RNA", at positions 28 to 507 of the family's 1533-position model. The record is from RNAcentral.
GAUGAACGCUGGCGGCGUGCCUAAUACAUGCAAGUCGAGCGAACGGACGAGAAGCUUGCUUCUCUGAUGUUAGCGGCGGACGGGUGAGUAACCCGUGGAUAACCUACCUAUAAGACUGGGAUAACUUCGGGAAACCGGAGCUAAUACCGGAUAAUAUUUUGAACCGCAUGGUUCAAAAGUGUAAGACGGUCUUGCUGUCACUUAUAGAUGGAUCCGCGCUGCAUUAGCUAGUUGGGUAGGUAACGGCUUACCAAGGCAACGAUGCAUAGCCGACCUGAGAGAGUGAUCGGCCACACUGGAACUGAGACACGGUCCAGACUGCUACGGGGGGCAGCAGUAGGGAAUCUUCCGCAGUGGGCGAAGGCCUGACGGAGCAACGCCGCAUGAGUUGUGAAGGUCUUCGGAUCUUAAAACACUGUGAUUAGGGAAGAACAUAUGUUUAAGUAACAGAGCACAUCUUGACGGUACCUAAUCAGAAAGCCACGGCUAACUACGUG